Molecule: long non-coding RNA, 570 nt
Organism: Colias croceus (clouded yellow)
Lineage: Eukaryota; Metazoa; Arthropoda; Insecta; Lepidoptera; Pieridae
Exons: 3
Source: RefSeq, a predicted model, not a curated record
UGAAUAGUGCUGAUCGAUCAUGUGAGUAAGAAUGUUAAUGCGGUUUAAUCGGUUUUCAAGUGUGUGUAUUAUAUUAGAUGAUAGAGGUGCAGCCUUUACAAGGAUGGUCAAAGAUUCUGUCCCAUUGGGAAUGCUGAGCUGGACGUGGACCACAGUGGCUGACGACUCUACGAAGUAUACGAAAAUCAAUAUAGAAGUUUACCCUGAAAAUUAGUACCUUUGGCUCCUUAAAGUGCCGCUUCUUGCCAUACGUUGAUUUGAUUCCAGUGUGCGCCUAUCUUUACGCACAAAAAGUGAGAGGCAUUUCAAUCUGCAGUCGCCAUUUUAUUUGUCACGUCUUGUUUGACACCAAUGCUAUUAUUAUACAAAAUGCUUGAAUAAUCUAUUGUAUUCAACUUGAAUAAUUUGCAAUCAUACGUCGUAACGGCAAAAAUCUGAUUAUUAUAAUUCGUAAAUCUAUUGAGGUAAUGGUGUAGCGAAGUGAAUUUUUUACUGGUUUUAAAAUAAUGUACUAACUCCCGCUUUAUUAUUUACUAUUUUAUGUUUAUAAAGUGCAUGUUUUAAAGAAAA